This 168-nucleotide small nuclear RNA is filed under the name Callorhinchus milii (elephant shark). RNAcentral describes it as "U2 spliceosomal RNA (ENSCMIG00000017169.1)". The stretch from base 1 to 128 matches the Rfam family "U2 spliceosomal RNA". From Rfam's summary of the family: U2 is a small nuclear RNA (snRNA) component of the spliceosome (involved in pre-mRNA splicing). Complementary binding between U2 snRNA (in an area lying towards the 5' end but 3' to hairpin I) and the branchpoint sequence (BPS) of the intron results the bulging out of an unpaired adenosine, on the BPS, which initiates a nucleophilic attack at the intronic 5' splice site, thus starting the first of two transesterification reactions that mediate splicing. The record is from RNAcentral. Lineage: Eukaryota; Metazoa; Chordata; Chondrichthyes; Chimaeriformes; Callorhinchidae.
AGCGCUACUCUCAGCCUUUUGGCUAAGAUCAAGUGUAGUAUCUGUUUUUUUCAGUUACUCCUUGGGCUGUGCAGUUCCUGGCAGCGAGCGCUGCCUCAGGUCUCGGAUUGAUGUAGCCGCCACUUUUUUUUGAGCCUCCUCAUGAUUUAUUCAUGGAGGAUAGAUGCA